CGCUCUGUUUUGAUACAUUCCGUUCGGCUCUUAAAGGCGCCGCGCUCUGGGCCCUGGGGCCUCUGGCAUUCGGCCGGCAGGCGAUUUUGGGGCCCCCGAGGGACCCCUCCUCAAACAGGUGCGACGACUUAGGGCGGUUCUAGCCGUCCCCGCGCAGCCACUGUCGACGAAGCCCUCGCCUGUGCCUGCGCGCGGCCAAGCCCGGAAGCUGCGCGAAGACUCGCCGAGAGCUGGGCGGCGGUGUGAGUCCGUUUCCCGGGAGGAACCGGGGCCCAGGGCAGCGAAAGGCCUUCGUGGGUCACACCCCGCUGAGGAGGGGUUAUUCCCAGACGCCUUGCUUGGGACCCUGUGAAAUGCCACCUCUCCGCCAAGAGACAAGUGCGGGCAGCGCCUUGGCGAUCGCAGGAUCCGCGCCCAGACCGGGAAACUGAGUCGCACGAGGUGCUUCCCCAGCAUGUCACAGAGCUGGAGCCACGUGACCUCCGUGGUGACCCUUCAGUUGGCCUGAUGCCCUUGUGAACCCCCUAGGGGGCCUUGCGAGCCCGUGGUCUGUUCCGUGGACGGGGUCAGUGGCGGCCAGUGUUUUGAGGCUCCCUCUCCGCUGUGUGGGGAUGGACUCAGCAGGAAAGAAAUGUUCGACAGGAAAAGCAUAAAGAUGGUAACACAUUUCUUGUGAGCUCAGGCCCAGAAGUCACCACUUCCUGUGCUUCCGACGUUCCCAGCCUGUGACGUGGACUAGGCGGCAGCUUUGGGCAAACUUCCCCCCGGGGUCAGGGAGGCACAAACCAGCUGGCAGAAGGGGCGUUUCCACUGACAGUGGCAGAGGCCAUGCCUGGGGCAUGUGGUCCCCAAGGAGGUGCCGGCUGGGUGCCCGCCCUCCCCAGCCCUGCGCAGCCCCCAACGACAAGGAGGUUGUCAUGCGGCCCCUGCCCUGGUCAUUUACAGAACAACCCUGUAGAGGGACACCCCGAGUGUGCUGACCCGACAUCCUUCCUGCCACCCCUCCACUCUCCGAUAACGUCAGGAGCACGAAAGAAGCAACCUGUCUGAGGGAGCCAGGCAUCCCGACUGCCGCCUGACUGGUGUCCGAACCAGUCUGCGUCCUGCGCCCGCUGGGGUUGGGGUUAGGGAAUGCAUUCCUUCAUCCACGGCAUCAAGGGCCCCCAGCAGCCCUCCUCCGGGGGACAGACUCUUCCUUCCACCCUGGAAUGUUUGUGAGCCUCCCAGGUCAAGCCCGAGAACACCCGCUGACACCCUCUCCUGCUUCUCCGAGGAAGCCCCGUUGGCUGCUGGAAGGGGUCCGGGAGCAGGACAUUAUGAAGGACAGCAGCCAGGCCGUCCCUUGAGGUGGGGCAGGACCUCCCCCUAGGCCUGGGCACCUGGAAGAAAGUCAACACUUAGAGCAUUUUCUGCUGCAAAGCAAUUGUCACAGCUCCCUGGGGGCACCGUCUGGGACAGACGUGGGCUUACUUGAUCCCCAGCACCCCCGCAUCCAUGUGACCAAUCAGGCCACUGGAAACCGGACUGCAGGCAGAAAGGCGGUGCCGGGUGUGGCUGUGGGGGCCUGCAUGGAGGAGGCUGCGGGAGGGUGUCUUGACCGCAGCCCUGGGGAGUGACUUGCACUUUUGUUCCUGAGUGUGAGGCUGUUAGGCCGGAGGAUUAAGAUCCUCUAAAAAUAUUCCAGUUUUGACUUUUCAGGACCUGGGCCUGCGGAUCUCCUAGCCUCAGGCCCUCCCCUCCCCUCCCUCCUACUUGUGCUGGCCGUGUCAUUGGGCCUUAAAGCUGACUUUUACUUGUCAUUAAAGCGAUGCCUGUGCUUGGUGUUAGAGGUCAGGCAGCACUAGGCAGCCUGCGAGAAUGAGAACAGAAAAGCCGCAGCCUCUGCCUGCACCCGCUGGCCAGCGGGAGCUGAGCGCCUGCUGCGUGCAAGGGCUCUGUUCCAGGCAUGGGGACACAGCGGAGACCCAGACUGCCGAGUGGCUCCUGCCGACGUUCCAGAGGAACUGCCUCCAACCCUCGCAGGCCUCGCCCACGUCUCACUCACAAGCUUGUGUUGCCACUUCUGUCUCUUCCGUUUUAGACGGUACCCGAACGAAGGCUUCCCACUGCAGACAAGGGUGUCUUACACCCGUGUCCCUGCGCGUCUCCUCCCCCGUUUCAAGUUUUGGAUACAUCAAUAUUUGGUGUUUUGGUUUACAUUUGGUGAUUUGUGUAAAUA
Molecule: long non-coding RNA, 2218 nt
Organism: Camelus dromedarius (Arabian camel)
Lineage: Eukaryota; Metazoa; Chordata; Mammalia; Artiodactyla; Camelidae
Exons: 3
Source: RefSeq, a predicted model, not a curated record